RNAcentral lists this ribosomal RNA (253 nucleotides) under uncultured bacterium. Its description in RNAcentral is "partial 16S ribosomal RNA". It matches the Rfam family "Bacterial small subunit ribosomal RNA", at positions 524 to 776 of the family's 1533-position model. The record is from RNAcentral.
UACGAAGGGGGCUAGCGUUGCUCGGAAUCACUGGGCGUAAAGCGCACGUAGGCGGCUUGUUAAGUCAGGGGUGAAAUCCUGGAGCUCAACUCCAGAACUGCCUUUGAUACUGGCGAGCUUGAGUUCGGGAGAGGUGAGUGGAACUGCGAGUGUAGAGGUGAAAUUCGUAGAUAUUCGCAGGAACACCAAUAGCGAAGGCAGCUCGCUGGGACGUUACUGACACUGAGGCGCGAAAGCGUGGGGAGCGAACAGG